Molecule: ribosomal RNA, 496 nt
Filed under: uncultured bacterium
Lineage: Bacteria
Description: bacterial SSU rRNA
Rfam family: Bacterial small subunit ribosomal RNA
Source: RNAcentral
GAUGAACGCUAGCGACAGGCUUAACACAUGCAAGUCGAGGGGCAUCAUGAGGUAGCAAUACCUUGAUGGCGACCGGCGCACGGGUGAGUAACGCGUAUGCAACCUGCCCGAUACCGGGGUAUAGCCCAUGGAAACGUGGAUUAACACCCCAUAGUACUUUUAUCCUGCAUGGGAUGUGAGUUAAAUGUUCAAGGUAUCGGAUGGGCAUGCGUCCUAUUAGUUAGUUGGCGGGGUAACAGCCCACCAAGACGAUGAUAGGUAGGGGUUCUGAGAGGAAGGUCCCCCACAUUGGAACUGAGACACGGUCCAAACUCCUACGGGAGCAGCAGUGAGGAAUAUUGGUCAAUGGACGUAAGUCUGAACCAGCCAAGUCGCGUGAGGGAAGACUGCCCUAUGGGUUGUAAACCUCUUUUAUAAGGGAAGAAUAAGUUCUACGUGUAGAAUGAUGCCUGUACCUUAUGAAUAAGCAUCGGCUAACUCCGUGCCAGCAGCCGAC